RNAcentral lists this ribosomal RNA (566 nucleotides) under uncultured bacterium. Its description in RNAcentral is "partial 16S ribosomal RNA". It matches the Rfam family "Bacterial small subunit ribosomal RNA", at positions 355 to 911 of the family's 1533-position model. The record is from RNAcentral.
UGGGGAAUAUUGCACAAUGGGCGCAAGCCUGAUGCAGCCAUGCCGCGUGUGUGAAGAAGGCCUUCGGGUUGUAAAGCACUUUCAGCGAGGAGGAAGGUGGUGAACUUAAUACGUUCAUCAAUUGACGUUACUCGCAGAAGAAGCACCGGCUAACUCCGUGCCAGCAGCCGCGGUAAUACGGAGGGUGCAAGCGUUAAUCGGAAUUACUGGGCGUAAAGCGCACGCAGGCGGUUUGUUAAGUCAGAUGUGAAAUCCCCGGGCUCAACCUGGGAACUGCAUUUGAAACUGGCAAGCUAGAGUCUCGUAGAGGGGGGUAGAAUUCCAGGUGUAGCGGUGAAAUGCGUAGAGAUCUGGAGGAAUACCGGUGGCGAAGGCGGCCCCCCUGGACGAAGACUGACGCUCAGGUGCGAAAGCGUGGGGCAGCAAACAGGAUUAGAUACCCUGGUAGUCCACGCUGUAAACGAUGUCGAUUUGGAGGUUGUGCCCUUGAGGCGUGGCUUCCGGAGCUAACGCGUUAAAUCGACCGCCUGGGGAGUACGGCCGCAAGGUUAAAACUCAAAUGAAUU